AUACGGAGGGUGCAAGCGUUGUUCGGAAUCACUGGGCGUAAAGGGCGCGCAGGCGGUUUGAUUAGUCAGAUGUGAAAGCCCACGGCUUAACCGUGGAAGUGCAUUUGAAACUGUCAGACUUGAGUAUCAGAGGGGAAAGUGGAAUUCCCGGUGUAGAGGUGAAAUUCGUAGAUAUCGGGAGGAAUACCGGUGGCGAAGGCGACUUUCUGGCUGAAUACUGACGCUGAGGCGCGAAAGCGUGGGGAGCAAACAGGAUUAGAUACCCCAGUAGUCC
RNAcentral lists this ribosomal RNA (274 nucleotides) under uncultured bacterium. Its description in RNAcentral is "partial 16S ribosomal RNA". It matches the Rfam family "Bacterial small subunit ribosomal RNA", at positions 523 to 796 of the family's 1533-position model. The record is from RNAcentral.